AGCAGCCGCGGUAAUUCCAGCUCCAAUAGCGUAUAUUAAAGUUGUUGCAGUUAAAAAGCUCGUAGUUGAAUUUCGGGAUCAGUGGGUCGGUCGUGCCACUGGUAUGUACUGGCCCUACUGGUUCCUCCUUCUUGAAGAACUGUAAUGCCAUUAAUUUGGUGUUGCAGGGAAACAGGACUGUUACUUUGAAAAAAUUAGAGUGUUUAAAGCAGGCAAUCGCUUGAAUACAUUAGCAUGGAAUAAUGAAAUAGGACGUUCGAUCCUAUUUUGUUGGUUUCUAGGAUUGACGUAAUGAUUAAUAGGGAUAGUUGGGGGCAUUAGUAUUCAAUUGUCAGAGGUGAAAUUCUUGGAUUUAUUGAAGACUAACUACUGCGAAAGCAUUUGCCAAGGAUGUUUUCAUUAAUCAAGAACGAAAGUUAGGGGAUCGAAGACGAUCAGAUACCGUCGUAGUCUUAACCAUAAACUAUGCCGACUGGGGAUCGGAUGAUGUUAAUUUUUAAUGACUCAUUCGGCGCCUUAA
This 520-nucleotide ribosomal RNA is filed under the name uncultured Glomus. RNAcentral's name for it is "SSU rRNA". It matches the Rfam family "Eukaryotic small subunit ribosomal RNA", at positions 569 to 1091 of the family's 1831-position model. Lineage: Eukaryota; Fungi; Glomeromycota; Glomeromycetes; Glomerales; Glomeraceae. The record is from RNAcentral.